AUAUACGACCGUACCGCAAACCGACACUGGUGCGCGAGAUGAGUAUUCUAAGGCGCUUGAGAGAACUCAGGAGAAGGAACUCGGCAAAUUGACACCGUAACUUCGGAAGAAGGUGUGCCCUAUUAGUGUGUAGUGAACAACGAAGCAUGAAUGGGUUGCAAAAAAUCGGUGGCUGCGACUGUUUAUUAAAAACACAGCACUCUGCAAACACGAAAGUGGACGUAUAGGGUGUGACGCCUGCCCGGUGCUGGAAGAUUAAAUGAUGGGGUGCAAGCUCUUGAUUGAAGUCCCAGUAAACGGCGGCCGUAACUAUAACGGUCCUAAGGUAGCGAAAUUCCUUGUCGGGUAAGUUCCGACCUGCACGAAUGGCGUAACGAUGGCCACACUGUCUCCUCCUGAGACUCAGCGAAGUUGAAAUGUUUGUGAUGAUGCAAUCUCCCCGCGGAAAGACGGAAAGACCCCAUGAACCUUUACUGUAGCUUUGUAUUGGACUUUGAACAGAUCUGUGUAGGAUAGGUGGGAGGCUUUGAAGCAGGGUCGCUAGAUCUUGUGGAGCCAACGUUGAAAUACCACCCUGGUGUGUUUGAGGUUCUAACCUAGGUCCAUUAUCUGGAUCGGGGACAGUGCAUGGUAGGCAGUUUGACUGGGGCGGUCUCCUCCCAAAGCGUAACGGAGGAGUUCGAAGGUACGCUAGUUACGGUCGGACAUCGUGACGAUAGUGCAAUGGCAUAAGCGUGCUUAACUGCGAGACUGACAAGUCGAGCAGAUGCGAAAGCAGGACAUAGUGAUCCGGUGGUUCUGUAUGGAAGGGCCAUCGCUCAACGGAUAAAAGGUACUCUGGGGAUAACAGGCUGAUACCGCCCAAGAGUUCAUAUCGACGGCGGUGUUUGGCACCUCGAUGUCGGCUCAUCUCAUCCUGGGGCUGUAGCCGGUCCCAAGGGUAUGGCUGUUCGCCAUUUAAAGAGGUACGUGAGCUGGGUUUAAAACGUCGUGAGACAGUUUGGUCCCUAUCUUCCGUGGGCGCUGCAGAUUUGAGGAAGCCUGCUCCUAGUACGAGAGGACCGGAGUGGACACACCUCUGGUGUAUCGGUUGUCACGCCAGUGGCAUUGCCGAGUAGCUAAGUGUGGAAGAGAUAACCGCUGAAAGCAUCUAAGCGGGAAACUCGUUUCAAGAUGAGAUCUGCCGGGGCCUUGAGCCCCCUAAAGAGUCGUUCAAGACCAGGACGUUGAUAGGUCAGGUGUGGAA
This 1246-nucleotide ribosomal RNA is filed under the name metagenome. RNAcentral's name for it is "bacterial LSU rRNA". It matches the Rfam family "Bacterial large subunit ribosomal RNA", at positions 1634 to 2872 of the family's 2925-position model. The record is from RNAcentral.